Long non-coding RNA from Nematostella vectensis (starlet sea anemone), 1499 nucleotides. RefSeq lists it as uncharacterized. The record is from RefSeq and is a predicted model, not a curated record. The transcript has 2 exons. NCBI's taxonomy places the organism in Eukaryota, Metazoa, Cnidaria, Anthozoa, Actiniaria, Edwardsiidae.
UACUGCCUGGUCAGUGUACCAAGAUGGAGGUGUUGACAAGGUAUGUAAUGGUCAGACCAUCAGUCUGUAUGGUACUGCCUGGUCAGUGUACGAGGAGGGAGAUGUGACAAGGUAUUUGUCAGACCAUUAGUCAACAUGAUUACAACCUUGAAAGUGUUAAAGGAUGGAGGUUGGUAGUCGGACCAUCAGACAUAGGACCAGGACCUGGAUGGACUUGAAGCACUUGAUGAGUAACAUGUACUGGAAUGUUUUUCACCAGGUAUUCCAAGUUGUAGGUGUAACCAAUCGUCACCAGGUGGUAGAUACUGUCCUCCCACUACCAAUCAAGACAAAACUCCUGAGGAUCACUACCGUCACGUGCAAAGGAUACUGUGCACUGAGAAUGGAAGUGUAUGGUUAUGACGCGGACUAAUUGUGUUCCGUUCAUUCAUCUACAAGACACUGUUGAAGGACAAGAAUUACAGAUGAAGCGCACAAAAUAAAGAGAUGCACAGUUCAUGGGAUAGGGAUUAUGUUUUAGAGACAAUUCACAGUACACACUAGGAAUAGGGGCUGAGAAAGAGGGUGCACAGUUCGCUAGAAACAGAUCAUGUUGUAGAAAAUAAUUAAAAGUUCUUUUAAUAGUGCUCAUGUUAUAAAAGAGAAUUCACAUUUCGCUCAAAACAGAUCAUGUUGUAUAAAGAGAAUUAAAAGUUCGCUGAAAAGGGAAUUUACAUUUCAAUAGAAACAGAUCUUGUUGUAUAAAGAGAAUUAAAAGUUCGCUUAAAAGUGCUCAUGUUAUAAAAAAGAAUUCAAUUAUUGCAAAAGCUCUAAACUCAACACUAAAAUGAAUUGUGAAACGUUUAACUUCUUCAUUUUCGUCCUUAUCGGACCUUGGUAAUAAUUCCGCAUCUAAAUAAGGUGUUAUCGCGCGGGUCGAUCACACUAGCACGGGUAUUCAAAAGUAUCCGGAUUCGUUUCGCCGAAAGCGGAUCACUUGAUUUGCGUCCACACUAUCGUUUUCGCAGGGUUUUCGCUUGGAUGCAGUCGUCCACACUAACACGGUACGGCGUGACGUACUUUUUUUUAUGCGCAUGCUCAUAGAAGCAGACGAGCCUGCGAGAUGACGUCAUCGUUUACAGUUUGACACGAAUUCGACCGUCUACACAACGGACCAAAGUAUAUGGAUAUAUUUUGAUUCACUUUCGACAGCGUUUUUUUAAAGUAUCCGGAUUCGCUAGAUCCUACCCCAGUGUUAGUGUGCACGGAAGGCCUAAACGUAUCAAAAAUACGGAUUCAAACGAAUCCGUGUUAGUGUGGACGGCCCCUCAAAAGCCUAAAAUAAACACCGACUCCAGACAUGCGCAGUAGAAUAACGCUGCCCCUUAAAGGCUUGUUAACCUUGAAAAGUGAAGGUUUUUACUCGCGGGUUUUUACCGAACAUGAAACAAACAAAUUUCUUUGUAAGUCAAAAGAAAGUGGUUCCAAGUUAAUUGGACACCUACGGCAUAACGCAAAAA